Small nucleolar RNA from Rhinopithecus bieti (black snub-nosed monkey), 181 nucleotides. Its record names the gene U3. It matches the Rfam family "Small nucleolar RNA U3". Rfam says of the family: Small nucleolar RNAs (snoRNAs) are involved in the processing and modification of rRNA in the nucleolus. There are two main classes of snoRNAs: the box C/D class, and the box H/ACA class. NCBI's taxonomy places the organism in Eukaryota, Metazoa, Chordata, Mammalia, Primates, Cercopithecidae. The record is from Ensembl.
UAGGCGGCUUUCAGGGAUCAUUUCUGUAGUUGGUUACUAGAGAACUUUCUGUGAAAGUGUAGAGCCCAGGAAACGACAGGAGGUGCAGUUUUCUCCUGAGUGUGAAGCCGGUGUUGCUUUCACCAUUGAUGUUUCUUCUCCUCUGGGGGGAGUGAGAGGGAGAGGACACAGGCUGAGUGGU